This 497-nucleotide ribosomal RNA is filed under the name uncultured bacterium. Its description in RNAcentral is "partial 16S ribosomal RNA". It matches the Rfam family "Bacterial small subunit ribosomal RNA", at positions 28 to 507 of the family's 1533-position model. The record is from RNAcentral.
GAUGAACGCUGGCGGCGUGCCUAAUACAUGCAAGUCGAGCGAACAGACGAGGAGCUUGCUCCUCUGACGUUAGCGGCGGACGGGUGAGUAACACGUGGAUAACCUACCUAUAAGACUGGGAUAACUUCGGGAAACCGGAGCUAAUACCGGAUAAUAUAUUGAACCGCAUGGUUCAAUAGUGAAAGACGGUUUUGCUGUCACUUAUAGAUGGAUCCGCGCCGCAUUAGCUAGUUGGUAAGGUAACGGCUUACCAAGGCAACGAUGCGUAGCCGACCUGAGAGGCUGAUCGGCCACACUGGAACUGAGACACGGUCCAGACUCCUACGGGAGGCAGCAGUAGGGAAUCUUCCGCAAUGGGCGGAAGGUUGACGGAGAAACGCCGCGUGAGUGAUGAAGGUCUUCGGAUCGUAAAACUCUGUUAUUAGGGAAGAACAAAUGUGUAAGUAACUAUGCACGUCUUGACGGUACCUAAUCAGAAAGCCACGGCUAACUACGUG